AGCGAACGCUGGCGGCAGGCUUAACACAUGCAAGUCGAGCGCCCCGCAAGGGGAGCGGCAGACGGGAGAGUAACACGUGGGAACGUACCCUUUGGUUCGGAACAAUCCAGGGAAACUUAGGCUAAUACCGGAUAAGUCCGUAAGGAGAAAGAUCUAUCGCCGAAGGAUCGGCCCGCGUCUGAUUAGCUUGUUGGUGAGGUAACGGCUCACCAAGGCGACGAUCAGUAGCUGGUCUGAGAGGAUGAUCAGCCUCACUGGGACUGAGACACGGCCCAGACUCCUACGGGAGGCAGCAGUGGGGAAUAUUGGACAAUGGGGGCAACCCUGAUCCAGCCAUGCCGCGUGGGUGAUGAAGGCCUUAGGGUUGUAAAGCCCUUUCGGCGGGGAAGAUAAUGACGGUACCCGCAGAAGAAGCCCCGGCUAACUUCGUGCCAGCAGCCGCAGUAA
Molecule: ribosomal RNA, 447 nt
Filed under: uncultured bacterium
Lineage: Bacteria
Description: partial 16S ribosomal RNA
Rfam family: Bacterial small subunit ribosomal RNA
Source: RNAcentral